AUAUGUUAUCAAGUGUCAGGACAAGUUUAUAAUUUUAUGUACUAUGUAAACGCUGUGUAAUGUGUUUGAUGGGCGCGCGCGUUGAACAUUCGACGCGCAUUUAAACUGUGGAGGGAGUUACCAUGGAAACGGGGCGGCAACUCAGCUGACAAGUAGCAAAUCUCUCCGUCUCUCACUGUUGUUUUUACUGCUUUCAGAAAUGGUUCAGUGUCAUGGGAAUAAGUCCGUUAGCAUCACAACCGUGAGCUAACAGAGGCUAACUAUAAGAGAUGCUGUCAUGAAACGCCAUGAAAAGGCAACUGCUGGACACCUGGGACAGGCCAUCAAUUCCAAGUUGGCGUCAAUUCCCUGUUAGAGUUUAGAGUUGUCUAAUAGAGAGGGUGAAGGAAGAACAUCCAAACCCUGCCCCUGCUUCCUUCAAGAUUUUUUAUGGAUUUAUAUAAUGAUGUUUUUUCGUAAAGUAAAGAGAGUGGCAAAAUUAACAUGACCCUACUUUGAUGUUUUGUUCUACAAAUUAAACUACACACACACUCCAA
Long non-coding RNA from Cyprinus carpio carpio, 536 nucleotides. Lineage: Eukaryota; Metazoa; Chordata; Actinopteri; Cypriniformes; Cyprinidae. The record is from Ensembl.